Molecule: unclassified non-coding RNA, 353 nt
Filed under: soil metagenome
Description: partial contains 5.8S ribosomal RNA, internal transcribed spacer 2, and large subunit ribosomal RNA
Rfam family: 5.8S ribosomal RNA (bases 1-120)
Source: RNAcentral
GAUGAAGAACGCAGCGAAAUGCGAUAAGUAAUGUGAAUUGCAGAAUUCAGUGAAUCAUCGAAUCUUUGAACGCACAUUGCGCCCGCCAGUAUUCUGGCGGGCAUGCCUGUUCGAGCGUCAUUACAACCCUCAGGCCCCCGGGCCUGGCGUUGGGGAUCGGCGGAAGCCCCCUGCGGGCACAACGCCGUCCCCCAAAUACAGUGGCGGUCCCGCCGCAGCUUCCAUUGCGUAGUAGCUAACACCUCGCAACUGGAGAGCGGCGCGGCCACGCCGUAAAACACCCAACUUCUGAAUGCUGACCUCGAAUCAGGUAGGAAUACCCGCUGAACUUAAGCAUAUCAAUAAGCGGAGGA